CCGUUCUGAGAGUCUCCCGACCCGCCAGACAUCCUCCUCUAACCUCUUCCAACCUCCUCCACAAUCCUCCAACCGUUUCACGGUGGAGGGCUUUGGGUUGAAUCGCCGAGAGGCGCCGGAAAGAGAGCUACAGUACGAGUACACAAUAUAUGUGAACCGACGCGUACGAAAGGGCGGACCACAGCACCUAGCCCAUAGCCCACAGCUAGCCCACAGUCUGGCAAGGUUAGCUAACCACGACGGCUCUUGACCUUUCGAAACAUGGGCCUUUUUGCACAUAUUACCCCUGUUCUCUCCAUCGUAUCGCACUCUGCGCCCCUCUCUACAAGUAACCCAGGCGUGUGCCCGUACUCGUUACUCGAUACACUCGAGCACACCAGACGAUACCCCGAGUCGACUCGCUAAGAACUCCCUCUUUCCUCAAUCACACCUUCGGUUCACUCGGUCUCCGCGCACAUUGUCACAACAACGUUUUGGCCCACAUGCCAUCUACAGCCGGGGAUACAAACAGACUCUGGAUCCAAACCCUCCCUCUCUGGCGGGGCCGUGGAUUGCCGUCACCAGACUGGGAUAAUAAUCUCACCCGCGGUCUGUAUCGAGUCUCCAGACUCGCCAUGGCCUGUGUGUGGGACGCUUCGCGAUGUUCGGUCCAAAGGAGUGUGGACCAGAAGCGUCUCUGGCCGCGUCGUCGGAGCUUCUGCAUGUACCAUCGGCGACCAUGCUUUUCCACCAGCGGGUUCAGUGCAUGUGUCCAACCGUUUUGUGUUUACUGGGGGGGGCUCUGAGUAAUGGCAUCCGACGGAGGGAUGUGCAACAUGUGUGUACAGUAGUAGAGACUGGAGGCGAGUGUGGUGUUGGCGUGAAUGUGGGUGAUAUUUUUUCAACCGUGCCUGUUUUUUCGUUUUUUUGAGCUUUUAAGCUGGCAGAAAACUGACUAAAACCGUAGAUUUGGCAAAAGCAAAAGAG
This 966-nucleotide unclassified non-coding RNA is filed under the name Yarrowia lipolytica. The record is from RNAcentral. Lineage: Eukaryota; Fungi; Ascomycota; Dipodascomycetes; Dipodascales.